This 880-nucleotide ribosomal RNA is filed under the name uncultured organism. RNAcentral's name for it is "bacterial SSU rRNA". It matches the Rfam family "Bacterial small subunit ribosomal RNA", at positions 25 to 944 of the family's 1533-position model. The record is from RNAcentral.
CAGGAUGAACGCUAGCGGUGUGUUUACACAUGCAAGUCGAGCGAGGCUUCGAGCCGAGCGGCAGACGAGAGAGUAACACGUUGGAACCUACCCCAAACUCAGGGAUAACCUUCUGAAAAGAAGGCUAAUACCGGAUAGCCUCGAAAGAGUAAAGCUUUUGCGGUUUGGGAGGGGCCUGCGGCCUAUCAGCUAGUUGGUAAGGUAAUGGCUUACCAAGGCGAUGACGGGUAGCUGAUGUGAGAGCAUGAUCAGCCUCGAUGGGACUGCGACACGGCCCAUACUCCUACGGGAGGCAGCAGUGAAGAAUCUUCCGCAAUGGACGAAAGUCUGACGGAGCAACACCGCGUGGAGGACGACGGCCUUCGGGUUGUAAACUCCUUUUCUGAGGGAACAAGUAUGAGGGUACCUCAGGAAUAAGGCGCUGCUAACUACGUGCCAGCAGCAGCGGUAAUACGUAGGCGCCAAGCGUUAUCCGGAAUUACUGGGCGUAAAGAGUCUGUAGGCGGCGGAUAAAGUCGAGUGUUAAAUUUUCAUGCUCAACGUGAAAAAUGUACUCGAAACUUAUUUGCUUAGAGUCUGAGAGAGGCUACUGGAAUUCCCAUUGAAGGAGUAAAAUCCGUAGAUAAUGGGAGGAACACCAAAAGCGAAGGCAGGUAGCUGGAUCAGGACUGACGCUGAGAGACGAAAGCGUGGGUAGCGAACAGGAUUAGAUACCCUGGUAGUCCACGCCGUAAACGAUGAGUGCUAGGCGUUGGAGAGUCAUUUCGACCCUUUCCAGUGUCUAAAGUUAACACGUUAAGCACUCCGCCUGGGGAGUACGAGCGCAAGCUUAAAACUCAAAGGAAUAGACGGGGGCCCGCACAAGCGGUGGAGCAUGUGG